Molecule: long non-coding RNA, 4849 nt
Organism: Equus asinus (donkey)
Lineage: Eukaryota; Metazoa; Chordata; Mammalia; Perissodactyla; Equidae
Source: Ensembl
UAAAAAUCUUAUAAUUUUUAUUGUGUUUGUUGAGGAAAACUGGCCCUGAGCUAACCUCUGUUGUCAAUCUUUCUUUCCUUUGCUUGAUGGAGAUUGUUGUCGAGCUAACAUCUGUGCCAAUCUUCCUCCAUUCCAUAUGUGAGAUGUCACCACAGCAUGGCUUGAUGAAUUGUGUGUAGGUCUACACCUGGGGUAUGAACCCACAAACCCUGGGCUACCGAAGCGGAGAGUGUGAACUUAACCACUAUGCCACUGGGCCAGCUCCAAUCUUAUAAUUUUAUAUAUAAAUUAUACUUCAAUAAAGCUGAAAUUUAAAAGAAAGAAAGAAAAUCAAAGAAUCUGCAGUGACAAUGCUUUUUGGAAAUAUUAAGGAAGAGGUCCAAACACUAGCGUGAAGGAUUCAUUAGAUGUUGACAGUUGUAAAGGAAUUCUGUUAGUAUCCACAAUAGGGUGUGUGUCAGUCUUUGUCCAUUUCCAGCAGCCAUUGAUGAGUGAAGGACUACACAGUCUCUCAUGGGUGGCCAUGACUUUCCCCUCUAGAGCCGACCAGAGCUGAUCACCAUGAUCUGGGGAUAUAAUUGUGAUGUUUCUUGGGCUGUAGAGCAGUGAAAAUUACACCGUUGCUAACGAGCAGUCAGGAAAACACCAGAGAACCAAGAAACAUAUGUUUUCUCAGGCUCAAACCUCUGGAGAAUCCCCCUAGAUCCAUAAUGUGGUGAUCAUUCUGAACACUCUAAUAUGCUGAAACCUCUGCCCAGAGUGGUUAGAGGCACAUAGUUUGCAUAUCUUGAUAAGGUUUCUAGAAAUCUAAAGUUGUGAUAACUUUAUUUAGCUCCUUCCAAUGUUAAGAUCUUUUCCUGUCAUACCUCUUUGAUCUAAAAUAUUGCUGUACUGUCAGCUCAUUUCCUUCUCUUUGUGUUACCCAGAGUCUAACACAUUUUUAUCUUCGUGUAUGAAAAGUUAAAUAAAUUAAAGUAAAUCUCUAUGCAUUGUGGCUGCCCCAAAAUGAAAAUCUCAUACGGACCUAGUCACCUCCAUUGAAACCUAACCUAUCUGGUGUCCCAUCCAUUCUCAAGACCUUUAAAUAUUUACUACAUAUAUUAAUUCCUGAAGAUUUGUGUAAAGGCUCUUCAAUCUGAGGUAGCACUUGCAUUUUGGUGGCUCAUUUUGCAGCCUCUACAUCUUAUUCCAAAGAACUAACUGGGAGUUUGAGGAGACACAUUUUAAAGAACCCCAAACACUAUCCUAUUACAUUCUUUUAUCAUGCCUGGAUAAACGUCUACUCUGGCCCACCUAUAAUAAAGAAAGUAGACUAUUUUUUCAACAAAGGUGACUUGACAGUAUUUCCAACCCUUUAUCUUCUGUUCUCUUUCAAGACACCCCUAAGUCACCUAUUCGCACACAUCUCUUCUUUUGGAAAGAAGAGUUAUGAUACAGGGCAAGACUGUACUGAUGCUAAGACUUUCAGACUACUAUUGAGUUUCUUUCCUCAGCGUUUGAUGUUUCACUGGCUGGCUGGCUCAGUAUUCACGAUGCUUUGUCAGUGUCUCAAGUUAUGUUUGGAAAAGAACUUGUCCAAAUUCUCCAUUUCUCCUCCACUCACUGCAAUUGGCGGUGGCAUGGCAAUUCUCUUCAAGGUAAACAUGAAGAAACCCGAAGGCGAUAAUACUCGCCUUUCAGUUGGAGUAAUUACCUGGCCUCUACCAACUGCAGACUUGUGCGUGUUGAUAGGACUCAUUCGACAGGUUCUUUUUUAAAAUAGGUAAUGAUCCUUUAAAGGAUGAAACCCUACUUCAUAACAUGCAAUUUUGCUAACCACUCUGUUUAGAAAACCGGGUUCCCUCUGGUUUCCCAGCGCUGGUAGCUCCGCUUGACGCAUGAAGUUGGGGCUGCCUCGGUCAUGCCACUUUAGAUUACUGGAUCUCACAGGAUGCUACAAGGCAGACACACCCCAGGCUGACUCACUGAGUGGGAAGUUUAAAAAGAUGGUUUUCCUCAGCCAUCAAUUAGAUAAACCACAUUUUCCAGGAGAAAAACAGCAUCUUGAAAAGCUCUUUACAAACAAAGCUCGCUUGCUCAGAAUGCUUUCGGUCAUGUUUUCUUGUGAAGGGAAGUAUGACUUUAACCUUAAUUGCACUUACAAAUUAGCAAGUAAAGUAUAAUGCCACCCUUUCCCCUCUUCCUUCCUUCCUUCUUUUUUUUUUUUUCCUCAGAAGGAGACACUUUCAUGAUUUUAGCUUUGGUAAAAUUAGAGCAUUCUUCCUCUUGGCCACUUCCCUCAAAUUUGUGGUUUUGACCAACCACUUGGUGAGCAAGUUAUAGACGCAGGCCUGAAUUCUCUUUCCUCUGCCCCACUUACAUUUCUUUGUACAGUUUUCCCUACCUUUUUUGCGACCUUCUUGAAAAUACACUGAGGAAAGGACAUUUGUAGAUUGUACCAUUUUGAAAAUGGCGAUUUGGAUUGAAGAUGUAUGUCAGGAAGAAUUAAGCACUGAAAAGCGAUUUGAACCUCCUCGCCUCAUCUUUUUCCAGUGCUGGCUGCACGUGGAAAGUACUGGAUAAAUGUCUCCCACUGAAUUGUAAGAUUCCCAAGGACAAAGGACGUGUUAGUGGUUUCCAUCGCCUGUAUACAGUGUACCUAACACACAUUGAGUAAUAUUUUCAAAAGCAGACCAUCUUCAUCAUGUAAAAGAAUAAAUAAGAGAAACACCACGCAAUUGAAUAUUUUGCACAGAACCUUAUUUCCUUACUCACCUGAAACUUGAGACCAAGGUGACACAGAUAUUCUGGGCCUGAGGACCCCUUGCACGUAAUUUUGAUAGAGACAUCUCUUGGAUCUGAGACCAGUAGGUGAUUAUCACAGUCCCCUUGCUGCACUCCUCUUGUGAGGGAAAGCUGCUGUUGGGUAUGUGGAUGCUAGGGAUCCGGGAACACGAAGGCAUCACCCUGCUUGCUGGUCUUGUAGAACUUUGUCUGCACUGGAGUCAACUUACAGCAGCCAAAGAGAGAAGAGCUGCAGAGACAGACACAAACAGUGAGGAGAACGCAUGUGAGGACACAGCCAUGUGACAACAGAGGCAGAGAUGGGAGUUAUAUAGCUGUAAAUUAAAGAACACAAAGGAUUGCUGACAACCACAAGAAGCUAUGAGAGACAGCAUGGCCCUGCCAAGACCUUGACUCUAGACUUCAGGCCUGAAGAACUGUGAAAGAAGAAUUUUCUGUUAUUGUAAGUCAUCCAGUUCGUGGCAGUUUGUUACUGUAGCCCUAGGAAACUGAGACAGGACCACUUUCACCCUUGGCAGGGGCAGCCAUUUAUUUCAUCUAGAACUGAUGCAUAUUGUGAGUAUAGUUUUCCUUUCCUGCCUGCAGGACCUUGGCCCGCACAACUGAAGGCAUACAGUGAUUGGCCAACACAGAACAGAGACCACUACCUAACAUUGUCUCAGACCAAGGGCCUCACUUUACAGCCAAGAUGGUAUAGCAAUAGACACAUUUCUAUGGGAUCCAAUUGGUCGUAUCACAGAACACUACCAAGCAUAUAGUGUCCUCCUAGAGCAACUGAAUGGCUUUUUGAAGGUACAGCUGAGGCAUCGACUUGAGAAUGAUGCCUUAAAAAGAUGGGAUGCCAUCCUCCAGGAUAUAUCUCUGCAACCUGUAGGUCUAGAGUUCCUGGUCCCCAGAUGGGGAGUGUUUCCACUAAGAAAACAGCUAGAGUUUGAUUGAGCUUUAAACUACAGGUACUGCCCAAUCAGACAAGAAAAGGGGAUAACUGACUUUAAUCAUCUUCAGGAGGAGGUGGGGCUGCUGAUAUACGACGCAGACAAGGAAGAAUACCUUUGGCACCUGUGUGAACCACUAUAUCAUCUCUUGCAACUCCCUUGCCAAAUUUUGACAGUAAACGGACAAGUGCAGGAGCCAUAUCCUAAGAAGGCCAUGAUAAUUAGAUCAGAUCUUUAGGGGAUAAGGGGCUGCGUCAUGCCUUCUGUAAGUCACUGAGACCAACAGAAGUGCUAGUAGGGGGUGAGGGGAAUCUAGAAAAUGUGGUGGAGAAGGGGAAUUAUGAGUUACAAGCUUGAGUAACUUGAGUAAUUAGUUACUUGAGUAAUUAGGUGCAAUCACCAAACUUCCUCUUGUAAAUUUCCCCAGAAAAGAGAACAAGCAGAAUCCCUGUGCUGUAGUGCAGCACCCAAAUCCACCACGGCACUCAUUCCCCGAGCUGCCUGGAGUGUUGACUGCUGACAGGUUAUAGUUGACUCUCUCUGGAAGAAUUGCUUGUUGGCCGAAGGGAGCUGCCUUACCCAAUGUGAUAUCAUAUUCUCUUCGUGGAAGUAGUCCAGAUGCAACAUUUGGUAGAUGUGGGGGUUAAAAGGCCUGGCCCCUUUACCCAAUUUGGGACAUCUUUGAAGAGCCCACCAGCUCCAGAGCUCCCCAUGAUAUCCACCGAGGCCUCUGAUGAACCCGCACCACGGUUCAACUUCUCCCUCUGCCCCACCCUACUUGUCUCACUCCUUCUCAGGUAUUGACUGCAAGGACAUAAACUUCUGCACAUAAAUUCCCAUCUCAGAGUCUGUUUCCCAGGGAACCCAAGCCAAGACAAGGGUUUACUGUGGAACUUUAGCAGCUGAUCCUAAAAUUUAUAUGCAAGUGAAAAAUCCAGGAAUAAUCAAGAAACUCCUUAAGAAGAACAGAGUUGGGAAAUGGGUGGUGGUGCUGGAGGGACCUGCACUAUCAGACAUCAAGACUUAUCUUAAAGAUGUGGGAAAUUAAAUGUAUACCUUUGCAACAGAAAAAUACAGAUAAACAACUAAUGGAGAAGAAUAGAAAACUGAACAGAGACCCAAACGUAGAC